RNAcentral lists this ribosomal RNA (450 nucleotides) under uncultured bacterium. Its description in RNAcentral is "partial 16S ribosomal RNA". It matches the Rfam family "Bacterial small subunit ribosomal RNA", at positions 338 to 795 of the family's 1533-position model. The record is from RNAcentral.
CCUACGGGGGGCUGCAGUGAGGAAUAUUGGUCAAUGGGCGUAAGCCUGAACCAGCCAUCCCGCGUGAAGGAAGACGGCGCUAUGCGUUGUAAACUUCUUUUCCGGAGGAAUAAAAUUUCGUACGUGUACGGAACUGAAGGUACUCCGGGAAUAAGCAUCGGCUAACUCCGUGCCAGCAGCCGCGUUAAUACGGAGGAUGCGGGCGUUAUCCGGAUUUAUGGGUUUUAAGGGGUAUGUAUGAGGCAGUGGUGAAAACCUUCAGCUUAACUGGAGACUUGCCAUUGAUACUGUUAGUCUUGAGUACGGUCAAGGUAGGCGGAAUGUGUAAUGUAGCGGUGAAAUGCUUAGAUAUUACACAGAACACCGAUUGCGAAGGCAGCUUACUGGGCCAUUACUGACGCUGAUGCACGAAAGCGUGGGGAGCGAACAGGAUUAGAUACCCCGGUAGUC